This 510-nucleotide ribosomal RNA is filed under the name uncultured bacterium. RNAcentral's name for it is "bacterial SSU rRNA". It matches the Rfam family "Bacterial small subunit ribosomal RNA", at positions 8 to 507 of the family's 1533-position model. The record is from RNAcentral.
AGAGUUUGAUCAUGGCUCAGAGUGAACGCUGGCGGCAGGCCUAAUACAUGCAAGUCGAACGGCAGCACAGCAGAGCUUGCUCUGUGGGUGGCGAGUGGCGGACGGGUGAGGAAUACGUGGGAAUCUGCCCAGUCGUGGGGGAUAACGUAGGGAAACUUACGCUAAUACCGCAUGCGCCCUUCGGGGGAAAGCCGGGGACCUUCGGGCCUGGCGCGAUUGGAUGAGCCCACGUCGGAUUAGCUAGUUGGCGGGGUAAAGGCCCACCAAGGCGACGAUCCGUAGCUGGUCUGAGAGGAUGAUCAGCCACACUGGAACUGAGACACGGUCCAGACUCCUACGGAAGGCAGCAGUAGGGAAUAUUGGACAAUGGGCGCAAGCCUGAUCCAGCCAUGCCGCGUGAGUGAAGAAGGCCCUCGGGUUGUAAAGCUCUUUUGUCCGGAAAGAAAAGCGCCGGGUUAAUACCCUGGUGUCCUGACGGUACCGGAAGAAUAAGCACCGGCUAACUUCGUG